RNAcentral lists this unclassified non-coding RNA (472 nucleotides) under Hevea brasiliensis (rubber tree). Lineage: Eukaryota; Viridiplantae; Streptophyta; Magnoliopsida; Malpighiales; Euphorbiaceae. The record is from RNAcentral.
CUCUCUCUGUACCGCUCUCUUCUACGCACAGCUCGCCAAUUCUGCGACUACAGCAUCAGAGAAUACACGAAGCGCCGCGCUGUCGACGCCUUUCGUGAAAACCGGAACCUAUCAGACCCUUCUUCAAUCUCCGCCGCUUUCUCCGAUGGAAAGGAUCAGCUCGACGUCGCUCAACGACAGGCCAUCGUCUACUUUUUCUACGCCCCCAAAACCAAGAGCGUCAUGGAGACCAGUUCCUAUUCUUCUUCUUCUUGAAAGAAAAAGCACCUUCGUGUUCAAGAUGAUGAUGGGUAAUUUUAUUUAUCUUGAUUUUAAUUUUUAAUAGUUGAUAUUGUAUUUCGUGGCACUAGCAAGUCUAGUCUGAAAAGUGAGUUUUGAUAUCAUAAGAGAACUGAAUUCUUUCUUCUUUGGAACAAUUGAUCCGGAUUUUAAUUUACUACUUUUAGUUGCUUAUUUCAACUUAUAAUUUUGU